Caretta caretta (loggerhead turtle) is the source of this 3268-nucleotide long non-coding RNA. RefSeq lists it as uncharacterized. NCBI's taxonomy places the organism in Eukaryota, Metazoa, Chordata, Testudines, Cheloniidae. The record is from RefSeq and is a predicted model, not a curated record.
UCUCUCCCCCAGCAAAUGGAGAGAGAAGAGGGGCUGUAUGGGGAGAGCAGAGGGGAUGAGAGGGAAUAUUUGUUGCUCAAUGUCAGGACUUCUUGUUCCCAUCUUUGCUUAAAGGGAUUCCCUCAAAUGCUGCUGAAUGAAUCUCCUGGAAGAAAGACGUGACCCUUGCAGAAAACAAACAGGAGGGGCUGCUGUGCAUGAGAGAUGAGCACCUGCCAGAAGGAGAGGGGCAGUGAGAGGCAGAGAAGAGGAUGAAGGGGGCAGGAGGGAGAAGGGAAUGGGAGGAUGCAAGCCAGCAAGAGGCAGCCGCAGGCAAGAGGGAUGAAGAUGGGGUACAGGAGAAAAGGAAAGAGAAUGGAUACAAACCCAGGAAGCCAGGGAAAGGGAUGCAAGAGAGGCAGCCAGAGGAGAAUGGGAUGCAUUGCACGGAGCAGAGGGACUGGACAGGAGACAGGAAUGGAGGGGAUGAGAAAGCCAGGGAUGAAAGCGAGAGGAAGGGCAGAGCGCAGGAGCGAGCAGCGCGGAGGGGUGUGAGGGAAUGCACGGGAGCAGAAAGGAAAGAGGGAUGAGCAAGAGAGCGGAGACUGGCUCGGGGCUGGGCGGGCAGAGAUGGAGGAGAGGAUGAGACGCCCCCAGAGGAGUCCGCCGGGAACCGUGAGAGUUUGAGAAGGUACCAAACUUGAGAACCUGGGAGAUGAUUUGCAGAAGUAGUGACCACUCAGAGUUGUAAAUGAAGUCAUUGGAAGGUUUCCUUUGAACAUAUAAAGUGCUAUAUAACGCUAAGUGUUCUGUGCUAAGUGCCUAGGCAUCUUAAAUUGGACACCCAAAAUUAGUGAAUGCAUUGUACCUUAAUUGUCUCUGCUUCCCAUGUGUACAACAGGGAUAAUACUACCCCCUCACCGCAUAGGGGUCUUACAUUAAUUAAUGUUUGUGAAGCACUUGGAUACUAUAGUGAUGAGUGCCAUGGAAAAGCCCAUGAGGAAAUUAAUAAUUCUGUUUUCAGAGCAGGAUUUGAAUAGUGCCAUAUAUAAGGCCUCAGGCUACACAUUGAACAAUGAGCUGACGGCCCUUGCUACGGAGGGGGAAAGGGAAAAGCGGAGCCGCAGCACGCUCUCUGCUCCGGGGACCUUGGGGAAGGGGGUGGAAUCAGGUCAUAUCCCCUCCAGCAGGGCAGGGGGCUAGGAGCACCCCCCAUGACCCCAGCGCACACCCCCAGCCCUCUGCCCUGACCUCUGCACCCCCUCACACACCCCAGCUCACUGUCCUGACCCCUGAACCCUCCUCACACACACCCAGCCCUCUGCCCUCACCUCACAGCUGAUCAGCCGCAGGGAGGAAGAGGAGGAGGGGCAGGAACCCAGCACGCUGGGGGAAGAGGCGGGGGGAAGGGGAAACUUGCCUGCCCUGCAAGGAGAGAGUGAGGUGCGGGGGGCGGAAAAGAGCAGGCCGGGCCGGGCAGAAUUUUUAGUGGCACGCUGCUGUCUGCCCAGGUCCGGCAGAUAGCAGGGUGCCAUUAACAAUUGGCUUACAUGCUGUGUUUGGCAUGCGUGCCAUAGGUUGCCGACCCCUGGCCUAGAUAAUACUUACUUCUGCCUCAGUGCAGGGGACUGGUCUAGAUGAUCUAUCGAGGUCCCUUCCAUUUCUAUGAUUCUGUGUGCACAAAGGGGCUGAAUUAAGGUUGCACAAGCAACUUGAAUUCCAGCAUUUCCUAAUUGGUGAAUUUUUUAUUUUGCAAUCUUAAUGAAGUUCUUUUAACAUAGUUUUUAUAGUGUAAUAUAUAAUUAACACUGUAGAAGAAAUAACAGUACAAAUCCUCUAAAAAAACAGAGUUGUCUACACAGCACAGGCUAAGAUGAUUAAUGCUUAAAUAAGGACUUUUGUGACAAGUAAGAAAUGUGAUCUCUGGGGAAGAAACCAGCAACAUUUUUCUUUCAUCUUCAUUCACCAAAACAGUGUGAGUACUUAUUUUUGCAUAACUAAACAAAAAACAAAAACCACCCCUACAGACUUUCCUUGUGUUUUGGAUAGAAUAUGGAACCAAGAAAAGAACCCAACUCAGUGGAAGAGAAGCAUCAUAGUAAAAUUGCCAAAGAAGGGUGACCUUAUCAACUUCAGUAACUGGCGAGGAAUCAUGUUACUCUCAGUGCCUGGUAAAACCAUGUGCAACAUCAUCCUGGAACGUACCAAGAAAGAUAUAAAGUGUGACCUUCAACAUCGGCCAAUGGUUGGCAGUGACAACUUGAGUAAGGCAAGGGUGUCUUAUAUCCCCACUAUUGUUUGCACUGGUCAUUAGCUGUAUCUUGAAGAAAGUAACCACCAAAGGCAACUGAGGAAUUUUAUAAAUUGAUAAAGCACAAUUGGAUGACUUCAUUUUUGCUGAUAACUUGUCCUGCUUAGUUCAAUGCAUUGUUUAAUGGAAGAAAAAAAACCAAGCUUUUGGCAGCAAAAAAGUUGGUUUGUUCAUCAACCAGAAGACAAAAUAUAUGGCUAUCAACAUCCCAAAAGCAACCAAAAGCAAGAGUGGAUGAAGAAACACUAGAAGAAAAAAAGUCAUUUAAUCUAUCUAGGGAGUGAGAUGUGCAAUGAUGGUGACAUUAUGCUAGAUGUCAAGCAACAACUAUCAAAAGCAGCAAACAACUUUCAUAAACUUGAAAAGAUUUGGAAAAGUAACAUGAUUGAUACUGACAAAAAAUAUGAAUUUUUAGCACCGGCAGUAUUUCUGUCCUCCUUUAUGGAGCAGAGUCAUAGAAACCUACACCAAAAAUUGACAAGAAAAUCAACUCAUCUCAAAGUAAAUGCCUUCAGAAUAUCUUCAGAGUCCAUUGGAAAGUGUUUCUUGCAACACCAGAAAUUAUAAGUAGAGCAAACCAAUCCAAAUAAUCAAAAAUGGUAAGAAGAUGACAAUGGACAGAUUUUGGACAUGCUUUAGGGAUCCACCUAUACAAUGCCCAAUGCAAGUGAUAAUGUGGACAUCAUCUGGAUAGAGAAAAAGACAGCAGAACAAUAGAGAAAGAGGCUAAAUCCAUCAACAUGACACUCAGAAGUCUGAACAAACCAGCACAACACGAAAAUAAAUGGCAGAAAAUUCUGAACACCCUAUACAUUUGACGAUAUAAGAUGUUAAAGAAAGAAAAGGAAAAAAAAGAUAACCUUUGGAUGAUGAGCACAUACUUAGCAUUAACAGGAUGUUUUUAUAUUAAGAGCUUAGCUUUAUAUGAUUUGCAUUAAAAAUUAAAUUCAGUAACUAAAGAUGGGUCCCCAAAAGCAC